This 69-nucleotide transfer RNA is filed under the name bovine gut metagenome. It matches the Rfam family "tRNA", at positions 5 to 66 of the family's 71-position model. From Rfam's summary of the family: Transfer RNA (tRNA) molecules are approximately 80 nucleotides in length. Their secondary structure includes four short double-helical elements and three loops (D, anti-codon, and T loops). The record is from RNAcentral.
UAAAUAGCUCAGUUGGUUAGAGCACCUGACUGUUAAUCAGGGGGUCGUAGGUUCGAGUCCUACUUUGGG